RNAcentral lists this transfer RNA (65 nucleotides) under Dipodomys ordii (Ord's kangaroo rat). It matches the Rfam family "tRNA". Rfam says of the family: Transfer RNA (tRNA) molecules are approximately 80 nucleotides in length. Their secondary structure includes four short double-helical elements and three loops (D, anti-codon, and T loops). The record is from Rfam by way of RNAcentral. Lineage: Eukaryota; Metazoa; Chordata; Mammalia; Rodentia; Heteromyidae.
GGUGGCUCAGUGGUAGAGCACUUGCCUUGCAUGCACAAGGCCCUGGGUUCGAAUCCUCAGCACCA